UACAGAGGGUGCAAGCGUUAAUCGGAAUUACUGGGCGUAAAGCGUGCGUAGACGGUUAUUUAAGUCAGGUGUGGAAGCCCCGGGCUCAACCUGGGAAUUGCAUUUGAGACUGAAUAGCUAGGGUGCGGAAGAGGGAAGCGGAAUUUCCGGUGUAGCGGUGAAAUGCGUAGAUAUCGGAAGGAACACCAGUGGCGAAAGCGGCUUCCUGGUCCAGCACCGACGUUCAGGCACGAAAGCGUGGGGAGCAAACAGG
This 253-nucleotide ribosomal RNA is filed under the name uncultured bacterium. Its description in RNAcentral is "partial 16S ribosomal RNA". It matches the Rfam family "Bacterial small subunit ribosomal RNA", at positions 524 to 776 of the family's 1533-position model. The record is from RNAcentral.